Molecule: transfer RNA, 101 nt
Filed under: Culex quinquefasciatus (southern house mosquito)
Lineage: Eukaryota; Metazoa; Arthropoda; Insecta; Diptera; Culicidae
Rfam family: tRNA
About the family: Transfer RNA (tRNA) molecules are approximately 80 nucleotides in length. Their secondary structure includes four short double-helical elements and three loops (D, anti-codon, and T loops).
Source: Rfam by way of RNAcentral
CCUUCGAUAGCUCAGUUGGUAGAGCGGUGGACUGUAGAUGUGCUUUGUCAAGCUUUCAAAUAGAAAUCCAUAGGUCACUGGUUCAAAUCCGGUUCGAAGGA